This is a non-coding RNA of Siniperca chuatsi (mandarin fish), 450 nucleotides long. The record is from the annotation of a RefSeq genome assembly. Lineage: Eukaryota; Metazoa; Chordata; Actinopteri; Centrarchiformes; Sinipercidae.
CUCAUCAAAAACAUGACUUUGCUCUCCGUCCUCAUCUGGACUCUCCUCUGCUUCACUCAGGGGUCUGUUGGACAAAAUGUUGUCUUGACUCAGCCAGCAGCCAAAGCAGUGCAGCUGGGUCAAAGUGUCUCUAUUGACUGUAAGGCCAGUCCAAAAGUUACUCAAUUCUCUGGUUCACAAUAUUUACUGGCCUGGUACCAACAGAAAACUGGAGAAGCUCCUAAACUUCUGAUCUACAGAACAUCAGACAGAUUUUCUGGAAUCUCCUCCAGAUUCAGUGGAAGUGGAGCAGGGAAUGGAGUUGACUUCACUCUGACCAUCAGUGGAGUCCAGGCUGAAGAUGCAGCAGUUUACUACUGUCAGAGUGCACAUUACAUCAACAGUCAGUGGUUGUUCACACAGUGAAAAAGCGUCGUACAAAAACCUCCCUCAGUCAGACUGAACAGAAAC